CAGUAGCCGCGGGAAAACGUAGGUGGCAAGCGUUGUCCGGAAUUAUUGGGCGUAAAGGGCUCGCAGGCGGUUUCUUAAGUCUGAUGUGAAAGCCCCCGGCCCAACCGGGGAGGGUCAUUGGAAACUGGGAAACUUGAGUGCAGAAGAGGAGAGUGGAAUUCCACGUGUAGCGGUGAAAUGCGUAGAGAUGUGGAGGAACACCAGUGGCGAAGGCGACUCUCUGGUCUGUAACUGACGCUGAGGAGCGAAAGCGUGGGGAGCGAACAGGAUUAGAUACCCCUGUAGUCCCUGUCUCUUAUAC
Molecule: ribosomal RNA, 301 nt
Filed under: uncultured bacterium
Lineage: Bacteria
Description: partial 16S ribosomal RNA
Rfam family: Bacterial small subunit ribosomal RNA
Source: RNAcentral